RNAcentral lists this transfer RNA (75 nucleotides) under Candidatus Methylospira mobilis. RNAcentral's name for it is "tRNA-Pro". It matches the Rfam family "tRNA". From Rfam's summary of the family: Transfer RNA (tRNA) molecules are approximately 80 nucleotides in length. Their secondary structure includes four short double-helical elements and three loops (D, anti-codon, and T loops). Lineage: Bacteria; Pseudomonadati; Pseudomonadota; Gammaproteobacteria; Methylococcales; Methylococcaceae. The record is from RNAcentral.
CUGGACGUAAUAGAAUGGUAAGUUACCUUUCUGGGGGACAGGUGGUAGCAGGUUCAAAUCCUGUCGUCCCGACCA